GAUGAAGAACGCAGCGAAAUGCGAUAAGUAAUGUGAAUUGCAGAAUUCAGUGAAUCAUCGAAUCUUUGAACGCACAUUGCGCCCGCUGGUAUUCUGGCGGGCAUGCCUGUUCGAGCGUCAUUUCAACCCUCAAGCUCUCCGGAGUUUGGUGUUGGGGCGCCUGGGGCUUUUCGACCUCAGGGCCCUCAAGUCCAUCGGCGGGACCGCCAGGACACUGAGCGCAGUAGUAUUAUUUCGCUCGGUAGGAUCUUCCACGGCGGGUCGAUCUGGCCGCUAAACCCCCCAAUUCUCACCAAAGGUUGACCUCGGAUCAGGUAGGAAUACCCGCUGAACUUAAGCAUAUCAAUAAGCGGAGGA
RNAcentral lists this unclassified non-coding RNA (357 nucleotides) under soil metagenome. RNAcentral describes it as "partial contains 5.8S ribosomal RNA, internal transcribed spacer 2, and large subunit ribosomal RNA". The stretch from base 1 to 120 matches the Rfam family "5.8S ribosomal RNA", at positions 35 to 154 of the family's 154-position model. The record is from RNAcentral.